This 464-nucleotide long non-coding RNA is filed under the name Olea europaea subsp. europaea. Lineage: Eukaryota; Viridiplantae; Streptophyta; Magnoliopsida; Lamiales; Oleaceae. The record is from RNAcentral.
CUUCCCAUUUCUGAUUUCCCUUUCCGUUUGGUAUUUUCCUUUCUACCAUACCAAACUUACGUCUAGAUCUAGAAAAAGAGGAACGACUUAAUGUAAUAUUAUAACUAAACUUUACUGCGUUUUAAGCACUCUACGCUACACGCGAAACAGCCUACUUUUGCUUGUAGGAGAAUCAGUGCCUUUAAUUGAUCAUUGAUCAUCUGCAUUCAACAAUCUGUACCAGUGAUUGCCACCCGAGGGAUUCCAAGGUCAGUAAAACUUAAAUCUAUUGGAUUUACUCUAUAUUGUGUGAAGUGGCAUUAUUCUUUGCCAGCGAUUAUGGGUUUUGGGUCCGAUUGCCGAGAAAAUGUAGGUUUUGGGGAAGUGGGUUUAUUGUUUUUGUUCGUUUUGUUUUGUGUAUGUGUGUGAUCUGUCUGUCGGCUGCUUGAUUGAUUAAUUUAAUGGUUAGUUUUUGUAUGAUCUGG